This 479-nucleotide ribosomal RNA is filed under the name uncultured bacterium. Its description in RNAcentral is "partial 16S ribosomal RNA". It matches the Rfam family "Bacterial small subunit ribosomal RNA", at positions 28 to 507 of the family's 1533-position model. The record is from RNAcentral.
GAUGAACGCUAGCGGGAGGCCUAACACAUGCAAGCCGAGCGGUAGAGUCUCUUCGGAGACUUGAGAGCGGCGCACGGGUGCGGAACACGUGUGCAACCUGCCUUUAUCUGGGGGAUAGCCUUUCGAAGGGAAGAUUAAUACCCCAUAAUAUACUGGAUGGCAUCAUCUGGUAUUGAAAACUCCGGUGGAUAGAGAUGGGCACGCGCAAGAUUAGAUAGUUGGUGAGGUAACGGCUCACCAAGUCAGCGAUCUUUAGGGGGCCUGAGAGGGUGAUCCCCCACACUGGUACUGAGACACGGACCAGACUCCUACGGGAGGCAGCAGUGAGGAAGAUUGGACAAUGGGUGAGAGCCUGAUCCAGCCAUCCCGCGUGAAGGACGACGGCCCUAUGGGUUGUAAACUUCUUUUGUAUAGGGAUAAACCUAGAUACGUGUAUCUAGCUGAAGGUACUAUACGAAUAAGCACCGGCUAACUCCGUG